GUGAGGAAUAUUGGACAAUGGAUGGAAAUCUGAUCCAGCCAUGCCGCGUGCAGGAAGACGGCCCUAUGGGUUGUAAACUGCUUUUAUACGGGAGCAAUAAGGUCUAUGCAUAGAUUGAUGAGAGUACCGUAUGAAUAAGCAUCGGCUAACUCCGUGCCAGCAGCCGCGGUAAUACGGAGGAUGCGAGCGUUAUCCGGAUUUAUUGGGUUUAAAGGGUGCGUAGGCGGCUUUGUAAGUCAGCGGUGAAAUUUUGCAGCUUAACUGUAAAAGCGCCGUUGAUACUGUGAAGCUAGGAUUUGGUUGCUGUGGGCGGAAUGUGUGGUGUAGCGGUGAAAUGCAUAGAGAUCACACAGAAUAUCGAUUGCGAAGGCAGCUCACAAAGCCAAUAUUGACGCUGAGGCACGAAAGUGUGGGGAUCAAACAGGAUUAGAAACCCUGGUAGUCC
RNAcentral lists this ribosomal RNA (445 nucleotides) under uncultured bacterium. RNAcentral's name for it is "partial 16S ribosomal RNA". It matches the Rfam family "Bacterial small subunit ribosomal RNA", at positions 354 to 796 of the family's 1533-position model. The record is from RNAcentral.